UACGGAGGGUGCGAGCGUUGUUCGGAAUCACUGGGCUUAAAGGGCGUGUAGGCGGAGCAUCAGGUGCCUUGUGAAAUCCCUCGUCUCAAACGAGGAACGGCUGGGCAAACCGAUGUUCUUGAGGCAGGUAGAGGCGACUGGAACGUUUGGUGGAGCGGUGAAAUGCGUAGAGAUCAAACGGAACGCCGGUGGCGAAAGCGGGUCGCUGGGCCUGAACUGACGCUGAGACGCGAAAGCGUGGGGAUCAAACAGGAUUAGAACCUACCGUU
RNAcentral lists this ribosomal RNA (269 nucleotides) under uncultured bacterium. RNAcentral's name for it is "partial 16S ribosomal RNA". It matches the Rfam family "Bacterial small subunit ribosomal RNA", at positions 524 to 791 of the family's 1533-position model. The record is from RNAcentral.